CACCCUUUAGAAGAGGACGUACUGAUUAGAAAGGAGCUGGGAAGAAUACAGCUGCCUGAAAGCUGACAAGCCCUAGAGAUGGUCUCCCUUUAUUUCUCUUCCAUAGCUGCUGGUUUUCCCGAGGAUGACUCUGGCUGCCCUGACAGCCCCACCACAGGGGACAGCAGCAUUUAUUUGACUUGACUAGGAUUGGAACUUCCAGUGAUCUACAAUCUCCAUAUGAUCUCUGUUUCUACAAGGAAGCACCUUCUCCAUGAAUAUUAUGCACUUAGUUAAACUGAGCCAUGGAAAGCCAAUCAUUCAUUCAACAAAUAUGUACAGAGUGUCAAUAAUGUACCAGGCAAGAAACAAGGAGCUGCGCUCUUUCUUCAAGGAAUCCAUAGUUCUAUCAGUAGAAGGAAUAAAAUAUUCUAAGUGUC
Molecule: long non-coding RNA, 419 nt
Filed under: Homo sapiens (human)
Lineage: Eukaryota; Metazoa; Chordata; Mammalia; Primates; Hominidae
Description: HSALNT0319178
Source: RNAcentral